UUGUCUCCCAGGCUGGAAUGCAGUGGUGUGAUCACAGCUCACUGCAGCCCUCUGAUCCUUUCUAAUUCCAUCCUUGGGCUACACACAAAUGACUAUUUAGUGGUAUUUCCUAUAUGAAUUUAAGCUCCAGUAAAUCAUUUCCACUCCCUGUGUCUGAUUCUUCAUCUAUGAAAAGCAUUCUGCUUACUCUUUUAGUGGAGGUCGGGGGAAGGCAAGAUGGGGAGGUGCAGUUUCUACCUAACUGGAAACUUAAACAAAGGAUGACAUUUUUCACUUACACCUGUCAUUGGAAAUUAUAAACUGUUCUUCCAGCCCAAGACUAGGCAAGUCUUCGAAGGAAGUGGUUGUAGUACUGCCUCUGGUAUCAAGCUAAGAGACAUUAUCUUGGAAUGCUAACCUGAAUAUGUGAAGAAAUUUUCAUUUCCAAGAGUCCAGAGAGGCUCUCAAAUACAUUUUUCUUUUUUCACUUUAAUGUGAUUUUCUUUUAAUCUUGACAUAUGUACUACAGAUAAAAUCUUGCAUAAUUUGAUAUUUUUAUUUGGACUAUAACCUCUAGGUGACUGUCAGUAUUAGUAAAGGAAUGAUUCAGUGCAGGAAUAUUGCUCAGCUAAUCUUGUGACAUUUUGAGCAUGAGUUGUCAUUUUUCUGGCAUGGUUUGUUAUUGAACAAAUUAGAUUUCCUAAGAACACGGUGGCCAUUACUUUUUCUGAUGUAAUGAAACACUCGGUUAACUUGUUUUAGGUCGCCUUGCAAAUCUGCACUACAUUACUUUCAUUUUCCUCAAAUCUCACAAAUCAUUUGGUCUGAGAGCUUGAAUGAGAAUUCUCCAAAGUAAACUUGAAAGCUUCAAGGUCCCACAGCAAUAUUCUCCAAGAGACUACUUGGCCACAUCUGCAGAGGGCUGAGGUUUUGGGUGGGCUUCACAGUCUCUAAGGCCUCCUGUGUCCUAUGGCCUUGGUGAAGGCUCUUAUGUGGUUCUCAAGAAGCCCAUGUUUUAAGAAGUCCACCUUUUAUUUCAAGAUUCAGCACUACCACUGAGGAAGGAGCAUGACAAGCAAAAUUUAUUUGGAUAAUUCAGUAAAUGACAUAUUUGAUUUGGAAGCAUAGUUUGUCAGAAUGCAGGAAACAAGGGAAUGACAAGGCAGCAUCAUGUGCAGGGAGAAGAGGCACAAGAAUGUGGAAUAUGUGACCCAUGUACAUGAAGAUAUUCCUGGUUCACUCAAAAGUACGAUUUUGAGAAGCCCACCUAGAGUCAGAAGGCCCUUGAAAGAUGCAGACCCUCAACUUUGGACUUCCCAGCCUCUAGAACUGUAAGAAAUAAAUCUCUGUUCUUUGCAAAUUACUUGAUCUCAGGUAUUCUGUUAAGAUAGGUGGUAUUGUCCAGCAUCUCCUUAAUAUGCAACCCAUGGGCUUCCUCACACUGUUGGGUCUCUGGGGCAGAAUCCUCAAUGAGCCAUUUGGAUUAAAAAGCCCUGGAGUAUAGCCUGGCUUGCGAUCUGAUAAUGUAGAUAAUUUCUCAUGGAAAUUUUGGUAGAGACUAAAUCCCCAGAAGUGCUUAAGUUGAGAAAGAAGGUGUUUGAUAUCCAAGGUGCAUUUAAACAAAAGACCCAAGCCUAAUGUGGAAGGUGUUCUUUCCCUCAUUGGAGUCCAGGGGACACCCUGCAGACAUAAUGUAAUUACACAGACAUGCAUCCUUUACCAUGUUGCAGACCCACCUCUGAUAUUGGUAAAGCAAUAAUGCUGAUAUCAGGAAGAGCAGUAAGGCUUUCUCAGCUGAUACAGCAAUUUAAGGUUUGCACUCCAUAUCUGACACUGCCAUAAGUACUAGAAAUACAAAGAUGAGUACAAUAGUUUUGUGUUCCAGGAGGUCAUAUCUCCUGGGGGAGAUAAACAUAGAAUACAAUAUAGGAUGUAUUGGAUAAAAAGUAAAAGAAUAAUGAUUGAAGUAAAUAAGAAUAAAGUGCAGCAGUGAUCAUGGAUGGGUACAGAGGGGAUCAGGAAAAAAAUUAUAAAGGAAGACAUGCUUGAUGUAGAUCUUGAAAGAUGAGUAGAGAUUUUUCCAAACACCUGAAAAAGAAGAGCCACAAGGAAACACAGCAUGUUUGGAAAAGUCUGAGGAAUUCUGUGUUGCUGGAGCAUAAGCUUAAUAGUCCAAGAAGCGAGAAGGAGAGGCCCUCUGGGGAUAAGGGGAAGCAACCAGAAUUGGAAAGCCUGGCAGGCUGUGCCAAGGCAUUUGUACUUUAUCUUACAUGUGAUGGAGAGCCAUUCAAGCCUUUUGAGCAGGGGGAAAAGAUUAUUAUAUUUGCAUUUUAAAAGUUGAUGGUGGUGUGGUGUGUGAAAAAUGAAGUGGAAACAAGCAAAACUAGCAUCAGGGAGGCCAACUGGGAAACUAAACACAGUGACCCAUUUCAGUGAUAAGGAGGCCUGUUUGUGGGGUGGAACUGAGAAGAUAAAUUAUGAAAGACCUCAAGGAAGCAUAUCAUCAAUUUUCAGGAUAUGAGAGACCACUGCAACAAAUAAUACUUUGAAUGGAAUGCACGAGUGUAGUCGGGGGGAGGGAGUUGGAAGCCAGUGGACAGAGGAAGAACUACAAAGUUAACUCAGGAAAUUUGAUUCGGCUUUCACACUUUCCACUCUGUCCACAGCUGCUCCUCUGCUUCCCUUCCCUCCCAGCUGCUCUGCCAAGGUAUCAGUCCUCAUUAUCUACUGCCUCCCUGAAGCAUCUGACACCAUGAAAAUCUCCCUGCUGGAAAUAUUUUCUCUCCUUAGCAGCCAUGACACCACACUCUAUUGGUUUCUUUCCCUUUUAUUUGGGUGCUGCUUAUGAUUUUUUAUUAGCUCAUUUUUCUCUGCCUAGUUCCUUCAGAUUUAUCCUAGACCUCUUUCUCUACUUACAUAUUUACCAUGCAAUCCCAUUCAUUUCCAUGUCUCUAAUAUCCAUGUUCAUGCCAGGGACCUCAAAAUAUGUAUUCCCAGGAAAGAUCUGUCUUCAGAAUCUUAUUUCUAUAUGUGAGACUACCUACUUGAUCUUCUCUUUUGAUAUCCCAUAGGUACCUCAACUAAACAUAGCAAAAACCUCAAAAUGAUUAUCACCACCUCUGUCUAGCUCACACUUGUUCCUUUCCCUCUCUUUCUCAUGGGUGUAAGACACAUUCUUUACCACAUAUCUGGAAACCAUCCUUGACUCAUCGUUGUGCCUUAGCAACCACAUCUGAUCAAUCACAAAGUCCUCUUCAUUCUACUUAUGAAUUGCCUCCAAAAUCCAUCUAUUUUCUCUCCAUUCUUACUGCUGCUAUUACAGGACAGGUCAUUGCUGUCUAAAAUCCUAUAUGACUGCACCUGAUCUCUUUGACUACCAUCCUGUGAUAGAUUACCUAUAGACUCUCUUACAUGCUGGUUCUUCUUCCUGAAACGUUAUUAUUACACCUUCUCCCACCAACUUUGAUAUUUCCAACUACUAUUCAUUCCCCUAGUUUUAGCUCAUUCAUUACUUUUUGCUAGGAACCUUUCUCGACCCUCUCCUCCCUACUUAGUUGUCACUCAAAUGAGUUCCCACAAUACUCUGUUUAAAAAGUUUUACUCUCUUGCUAUGCUUACAUCAUAAAGAUGGCCUAUCUCAUUCCUUGCUGUAUCGCCAGUGCCUAACACAGUGACUCCAUGCUUAAUAAAUAUUUAUGGAAUGAACACAUAAAUAUAUUCAAGUAAUUUUAUUGAAAUAUAACAUGCAUAAAGAAAAGAGCAUAGAGAAGCACACGUCCCAACAAAUGAAAUAUCACAAAGUAAACUCAUGGGUGUAAACCAAUUCAAAGAUAGAACACCCCAGAAGCCCUUCGUAUAACCAACCCCAAUUAUUAACCGCCUCCUCUUUUCCAAAGGUCAUUUUUACUCUGUCUAUCAUAAUAGCUGAGUUUUGCCUGUCUUUGAAAUCAAUAUAAAUAUAAAUAUACUCUUUUGCAUAUGGUCUUCUCACUAAAUGUUUGUGAGAUUGAUCCAUGUUAUUGCAUAUAACAGUUCUUUCAUUUUCAUUGCUAUCUUGGUUUAUCACUGCAUGAAUAUGCCAUAAUUUACCAAAAUUUGUUCAUUCCACUUUUAAAUAUCAAUAAAGUUGUUUUCGAUGUGAGACUAUUAUAUAUAAUAUUGCUAUGAACAUUUAUUUAUAUGCUGUUUAUA
Molecule: long non-coding RNA, 4170 nt
Filed under: Homo sapiens (human)
Lineage: Eukaryota; Metazoa; Chordata; Mammalia; Primates; Hominidae
Description: HSALNT0392702
Source: RNAcentral